AGAGUUUGAUCAUGGCUCAGAUUGAACGCUGGCGGCAGGCCUAACACAUGCAAGUCGAGCGGUAGCACAGAGAGCUUGCUCUCGGGUGACGAGCGGCGGACGGGUGAGUAAUGUCUGGGAAACUGCCUGAUGGAGGGGGAUAACUACUGGAAACGGUAGCUAAUACCGCAUAACGUCGCAAGACCAAAGUGGGGGACCUUCGGGCCUCAUGCCAUCAGAUGUGCCCAGAUGGGAUUAGCUAGUAGGUGGGGUAAUGGCUCACCUAGGCGACGAUCCCUAGCUGGUCUGAGAGGAUGACCAGCCACACUGGAACUGAGACACGGUCCAGACUCCUACGGGAGGCAGCAGUGGGGAAUAUUGCACAAUGGGCGCAAGCCUGAUGCAGCCAUGCCGCGUGUGUGAAGAAGGCCUUCGGGUUGUAAAGCACUUUCAGCGGGGAGGAAGGCGUUAAGGUUAAUAACCUUGGCGAUUGACGUUACCCGCAGAAGAAGCACCGGCUAACUCCGUGCCAGCAGCCGCGGUAAUACGGAGGGUGCAAGCGUUAAUCGGAAUUACUGGGCGUAAAGCGCACGCAGGCGGUCUGUCAAGUCGGAUGUGAAAUCCCCGGGCUCAACCUGGGAACUGCAUUCGAAACUGGCAGGCUAGAGUCUUGUAGAGGGGGGUAGAAUUCCAGGUGUAGCGGUGAAAUGCGUAGAGAUCUGGAGGAAUACCGGUGGCGAAGGCGGCCCCCUGGACAAAGACUGACGCUCAGGUGCGAAAGCGUGGGGAGCAAACAGGAUUAGAUACCCUGGUAGUCCACGCCGUAAACGAUGUCGAUUUGGAGGUUGUGCCCUUGAGGCGUGGCUUCCGGAGCUAACGCGUUAAAUCGACCGCCUGGGGAGUACGGCCGCAAGGUUAAAACUCAAAUGAAUUGACGGGGGCCCGCACAAGCGGUGGAGCAUGUGGUUUAAUUCGAUGCAACGCGAAGAACCUUACCUGGUCUUGACAUCCACAGAACUUAGCAGAGAUGCUUUGGUGCCUUCGGGAACUGUGAGACAGGUGCUGCAUGGCUGUCGUCAGCUCGUGUUGUGAAAUGUUGGGUUAAGUCCCGCAACGAGCGCAACCCUUAUCCUUUGUUGCCAGCGGUCCGGCCGGGAACUCAAAGGAGACUGCCAGUGAUAAACUGGAGGAAGGUGGGGAUGACGUCAAGUCAUCAUGGCCCUUACGACCAGGGCUACACACGUGCUACAAUGGCAUAUACAAAGAGAAGCGACCUCGCGAGAGCAAGCGGACCUCAUAAAGUAUGUCGUAGUCCGGAUUGGAGUCUGCAACUCGACUCCAUGAAGUCGGAAUCGCUAGUAAUCGUAGAUCAGAAUGCUACGGUGAAUACGUUCCCGGGCCUUGUACACACCGCCCGUCACACCAUGGGAGUGGGUUGCAAAAGAAGUAGGUAGCUUAACCUUCGGGAGGGCGCUUACCACUUUGUGAUUCAUGACUGGGGUGAAGUCGUAACAAGGUAACCGUAGGGGAACCUGCGGUUGGAUCACCU
Molecule: ribosomal RNA, 1528 nt
Filed under: Klebsiella pneumoniae BIDMC 69
Lineage: Bacteria; Pseudomonadati; Pseudomonadota; Gammaproteobacteria; Enterobacterales; Enterobacteriaceae
Also listed under: 2 other names
Description: bacterial SSU rRNA
Rfam family: Bacterial small subunit ribosomal RNA
Source: RNAcentral